This 1196-nucleotide unclassified non-coding RNA is filed under the name uncultured fungus. RNAcentral's name for it is "sequence contains 18S rRNA gene, ITS1, 5.8S rRNA gene, ITS2, 28S rRNA gene". The stretch from base 315 to 1196 matches the Rfam family "Eukaryotic large subunit ribosomal RNA", at positions 1 to 961 of the family's 3401-position model. The record is from RNAcentral. Lineage: Eukaryota; Fungi.
GGAAGGAUCAUUAAAAAAUUACAAUACACCUUGAUUUUGAUAUCACAACAACAAAACAUUUUGUCAACAAAACAUAACUAAAAAAACUUUCAACAACGGAUCUCUUGGUUCUCGCAUCGAUGAAGAACGCAGCGAAUUGCGAUACGUAGUAUGACUUGCAGACGUGAAUCAUCGAAUCUUUGAACGCACAUUGCGCCUUGAGGUAUUCCUCAAGGCAUGCCUGUUUGAGCGUCGGCUCUUCUCAAACCCUCGGGUUUGGCUUUGCGACGAAAUAUCAAAACUAGUUGUUUUAAGUACCAUCUAGUCACCCCUUUCGCCCUCAAAUCAGGUAGGACUACCCGCUGAACUUAAGCAUAUCAAUAAGCGGAGGAAAAGAAACCAACAGGGAUUGCCUCAGUAACGGCGAGUGAAGCGGCAUGAGCUCAAAUUUGAAAUCCCUCGGGAGUUGUAAUUUGAAGGUUGGAGGUUCCAGCAACACACUGCCUAAGUCCCUUGGAACAGGGCGCCUUGGAGGGUGAGAGCCCCGUGAGGCAGCCGUGGCGCGUCGUAACCUCCUUCCAACGAGUCGAGUUGUUUGGGAAUGCAGCUCAAAGUGGGUGGUAAAUUCCAUCUAAAGCUAAAUACCGGCGAGAGACCGAUAGCGAACAAGUACAGUGAUGGAAAGAUGAAAAGCACUUUGAAAAGAGAGUGAAACAGUACGUGAAAUUGUUGAAAGGGAAGGGCUUGCAAGCAGACUCGGCCUCGGCCGGGCCAGCAUCGGUUUGGCGGGACGGACAAAGCGCGAGGAAUGUGGCACCCCUCGGGGUGUGUUAUAGCCUCGCGUCCUACGUCCUCGCCAGACCGAGGUCUGCGAUUCUUAUCUAGGAUGCUGGCGUAAUGGUUGCAAGCCGCCCGUCUUGAAACACGGACCAAGGAGUCUAACGUCUAUGCAAGUGUUUGGGUGCAAAACCCCAGCGCGGAAUGAAAGUAAGAGGUUGGAGCCUCCGGGCGCACAAUCGACCGACCCUGAAGUACUCGGACGGGUUUGAGUAGGAGCAUAGCUGUUGGGACCCGAAAGAUGGUGAACUAUACCUGAAUAGGGUGAAGCCAGAGGAAACUCUGGUGGAGGCUCGUAGCGGUUCUGACGUGCAAAUCGAUCGUCGAAUUUGGGUAUAGGGGCGAAAGACUAAUCGAACCAUCUAGUAGCUGGUUCCUGC